This 2898-nucleotide long non-coding RNA is filed under the name Equus asinus (donkey). Its description in RNAcentral is "lncRNA (ENSEASG00005035681.1)". Lineage: Eukaryota; Metazoa; Chordata; Mammalia; Perissodactyla; Equidae. The record is from RNAcentral.
CCCCAAUCUUCUCUCAGCUUCCCUUGGUCCGACCUCAUCCCUUCCAGUAUCACAGAAAGCGCAGGCUGGAGGACGCCUAUGAGCCUGUGGGUCUGACCUCUGGUUUUCCUGUGGCCCAGAGAGGGGUCAAGCUUGCUCAAGGUCACAUUGAGAGAGUUGGCUGAGACUCGAACUCAGAGCCUCUGACUCACAUGGCCCCUCACAGGCUCUGGAGCCCAGCCUUGUCUCCCCAGAUGCACACCACGUGCCGAGGGUGGGGCAGCUGCCUGGAUUUUCGGCCUUCCUCCCUCCCAGCGCCCAGCUUGGGCUCUGCACACGGCAAAUGCCAAAUUAAUUCCGGUUUCGUCACGGGAGGUCUUUGCGAUAACCUUCAAGCCAAAGGAUCACCCCUUGCCACCUUCCCAGUGAGGUAGGAGGGGGCGUCAGCGGCCUCACGGUGUGACCUUGGGCAAGUCUCUUACCUCCACGGGCCUGGGACCUCAGGUGACGAAAGCUGAUAAAGAUCCUUAACGAGAACACCUAGAUCUGAGUCAAGGCUUUUUUCUACAACUCUGCUGCCACCUCCAAGGAUAAAAAUCUUUGCACUGCCCUUUGAGCGUUAUUUGAAAUUCAAAAUAGGUUAAAUAACAAGAUAAAAACAAAGAAAGCAAUAAGACAAAGCUUGCUUUGUUUUCUGACUACAUUCUCUUCCCUUCCCACCAACUGAUCCUCCCCCCCAAACCUAACUCCUCCCCCUGGGGGGGGGCUCUGAAUCAUCCUUUCCCUGGCACCCCGGCACUGAGAAGUCCUCGUGGAAUGUUUGCUGAAGUUAUGAAGCGCUCUGCAGUUGGCCAGCCCUCCCAUGACGUCAUCUGAGCCUCCAACGGCCCCGCAAGGCGGGAGGGUUAGCCCGUUCACAGGGAGCGCCAAGGUUCCGAGGGAAGGGACUUGGCCAAGGUCACGUGGCAGGUAUGUGGCACGUGGCAGGUUUGCAUGCUCUGCUGAGAUGGAUGAAUCUCUGGGGGGACUCAUUCUGAAAUGUCAUGUGGAGGGGUCACUGUGUCUGCUAGUGGCCACACGCACCUCUCUCCCAGCCCCCACGGCCACUUUGACCUGGGAGACCAGCUUGCGCCCCAAUCUUCUGACAGUCCCACCUGCUACAUGCCUCUGAGACCUCCAGGAGGCCUCCACUCUGCCCACUGCAGUGGGAGGCCCUGCUGCGUUGUGGGGCAGGGACAGGGCACUGCCACUGGGGACCCGUUUUCCACGUGGAAACUGGAACCGCAGCACAGUGAAGGCUGGGCCCUCCCAGGGGAGUUGUACAGUGGAAGGUGCUGUAAUUAACCCUCAGAGCCCGGGGCAGGGCAGCCCUGCAUUCAAAUCCAACAUCCUUAUGCUAACAACUCUCAUUCUGGGGACCCUUGGUGGCAGCUAUUUGGCACUUGAUGCUGGCGAUCAGGUGUGCCCUACCUGGCCCCAGAGUAAGCUGGGCUCUGGUGUCCUUGGGGCAAGGCUCUCUCCCCUCACCAGCCCAGGAAUACACAAUGCCCAUUUUACAGGUGAAAAAACCGAGGCACACAAAGGGAAUGGACUUGACCCAGGUCACAGAGCCAAAAAAAAGUGAUGUGGCUGGAAAUCCCCCCAGGGGCGGUGUUGGAGGGGGCAGUGUUGGAGAAGGCCGUGCCCAGUGGCUGAGCAGGGGAAGAGCAGGCCUGGGAGACAGCCCAGCAGAUGCAGUGACUGCGACCUGGGCAAGGGUGGUCACCAUGCAGCCUCAGUGUCCCAGGUCCUCAUAUUUACCCUACCGAAGACAGUCAGGCCUGGGCACUGGGUAGGAGCUUACUCAGCGGUGGUAAUGACCGCAAGGACAAGGUUUGGGGCCGAAGCAGGGAGCAUGCGCUAGGAGAGGCCAACAGGGGCCGCUGUGGAGGCACACGGGGCUGGGGGAGGCCAGGGAGCUGUCCGACCCGGGUAUCGGGGUGGGCGGGGGUGGCUGCACCCCGGCGCUCACCUGGGGGUCACCCGCAGGCCGCCCACGUGCACCACCGGCACCGCCUCUCAUCCUGGAGGCCACUCGCGUGCCCACAGCCCCCUUCCCGCCAGUGUCCAGCUGUAAAAGCACUCCCGCUGCUGGAGCGGGACCCUGUCUGGGUUAGGGCUGCUCUGGCCUCAGGAAUAAGGGGUUAACUCCCGGAAGGGAGGUUUCUCAUGCCCCUCAAAGUCCAGCGCUUCAAGGUGGAGACAGGAGGAGCCCCGAAAGGGGGCAGCAAGCCGUCCAGUGUGGCAGCGGGGACCCGGUUCUCAGGACUCUGAGGGGAAAUGGUGGUUCCAACAAGAAGGACCCAAAACUAAAACUAUGCAACUAUGUACCAGGGGGCUUUGGGGACGAAAAAGAAAAAUAAAAUCCUUAAAAGAAAGAAGAAAAAAGAAACGGUGGUUCAUAGUGAGAUUUCAUUCAAAAUACCGGUUUCCACUUCACCUCCAGUAGAUCGCAAAAAGAAACUGACCGCAUCAAGUGUGGGUGCAGCUGUGGGAUGCACGCACCACCGCGGGGGCUGUGAACUGGUACAAGCACGUGGCAAGACUGCUCAGCAGAGCUCCUGAGACUGAGCACACGCUAAGCCCAUGACCAAGCAAGCCCGCUGUCGGUAUGAACUCAAGAGAAAUGCUGUGCAUGUUCAUCAGAAGACGUGUGCAUGAAUGCUCGCAGCAGCAGUAUCUGUAACAGCCCCCAAACAGGAAUGACCCAAAUGCCCAUUAAACAGGAUAUUCACACAACGCAAUACCAUUCAGUAAUGAGAACGGACAGUGUGCAAAUACACGUGCCUGCAUGGAGGAAUCUCGCUGACGCGUGGUGAAUGAAAGAGACCGCAGAUAUGAAAGAACACAAAUGGGUGCAACCGAUCCAUGGCGACAGAG